GGCCGCCGCGCUCCCUGCGCCGCGCUCCGGGCGUGCGAUAGCGGGGCGGUGCCGGCAGCUCGCCGCGCCGGCCGGGCCCCGCCGAUAAGGGCGGUUGGCUGGGCUCUCUCGCAGGGUCCAGCCCCGGCUGUCUCCGCACUGACCUAGGGAAGGGACGCGGCACAACCCCUGGUUGUCCCCUGGGCGGUGCCGGAGCCCUGAGGGACGCGGAAACCUGCCCAGAGGCCGCCCCGCCGUGGCGCUGCCCGCAGGUUGUUGUGUAAUUCUGCUUAGUAAAAGCACGUUCCUUACAUCAGUCACUCAUGCAAUGCAAGAAAAAUAUGAAUUUCCAUUGGCUCACAAAUAGAAACAGAAAUGGCACACCCUUAGAAAGACAAACAUUGAAGAAUAUUGUAAAAGGACUUGUAAUAAGAAAUUGAAAUUUAUAAAUACAAUACAGGUAUCCCAAG
Molecule: long non-coding RNA, 449 nt
Organism: Agelaius phoeniceus (red-winged blackbird)
Lineage: Eukaryota; Metazoa; Chordata; Aves; Passeriformes; Icteridae
Source: RefSeq, a predicted model, not a curated record